AUGAAAUUAUUGUCCUUUAACUACCAAGCAACGAGGUUGCUAGGAGUAUUGAUUUCACACAUCACAAUUCUUUUGUCGGUAUUCCGGUUGCAUCAACACGAAGACCGAGGAAUGACUAAUGAUGGUGAGAAGUAUCACUACGUUAAAAUUCAUGAGAGUUGGUGCAGUUCUCAUGACAAUUCUGACAUAAAGGGGGUAAUACUCCAAGGUAGAACAGAACCAAAAGCUGGAUUGGCAUUUGAUCUGCGGAAUACAACUGUUAAGACCCAAUCCUGGGUAUGGAUGAGGUACUGGAGUUUGUUUCUCCUAGUCAUUCCGGAAUAG
This 324-nucleotide ribosomal RNA is filed under the name Triticum aestivum (bread wheat). RNAcentral's name for it is "partial small subunit ribosomal RNA". Lineage: Eukaryota; Viridiplantae; Streptophyta; Magnoliopsida; Poales; Poaceae. The record is from RNAcentral.